RNAcentral lists this ribosomal RNA (848 nucleotides) under uncultured bacterium. RNAcentral describes it as "bacterial SSU rRNA". It matches the Rfam family "Bacterial small subunit ribosomal RNA", at positions 1 to 845 of the family's 1533-position model. The record is from RNAcentral.
UAGAGUUUGAUCAUGGCUCAGGAUGAACGCUAGCGGCAGGCUUAACACAUGCAAGUCGAGGGGCAUCGGGAGGAAAGCUUGCUUUCCUUGCCGGCGACCGGCGCACGGGUGAGUAACACGUAUGCAACCUGCCCUCUUCAGGGGGACAACCUUCCGAAAGGGAGGCUAAUCCCGCGUAUAUCGGUUUCGGGCAUCCGAGAUCGAGGAAAGAUUCAUCGGAAGAGGAUGGGCAUGCGGCGCAUUAGCUUGACGGCGGGGUAACGGCCCACCGUGGCGACGAUGCGUAGGGGCUCUGAGAGGAAGGUCCCCCACACUGGUACUGAGACACGGACCAGACUCCUACGGGAGGCAGCAGUGAGGAAUAUUGGUCAAUGGGAGAGAUCCUGAACCAGCCAAGCCGCGUGAGGGAAGACGGCCCUAUGGGUUGUAAACCUCUUUUGUCGGAGAACAAAACCCGGGACGUGUCCCGGACUGCGUGUAUCCGAAGAAAAAGCAUCGGCUAACUCCGUGCCAGCAGCCGCGGUAAUACGGAGGAUGCGAGCGUUAUCCGGAUUUAUUGGGUUUAAAGGGUGCGUAGGCGGUCCGUUAAGUCAGCGGUAAAAUUGCGGGGCUCAACCCCGUCGAGCCGUUGAAACUGGCAGACUUGAGUUGGCGAGAAGUACGCGGAAUGCGCGGUGUAGCGGUGAAAUGCAUAGAUAUCGCGCAGAACUCCGAUUGCGAAGGCAGCGUACCGGCGCCAGACUGACGCUGAGGCACGAAAGCGUGGGGAUCGAACAGGAUUAGAUACCCUGGUAGUCCACGCAGUAAACGAUGAAUGCUGGUUGUCCGGGUCGAAUGAGAUCUGGGCG